This 151-nucleotide ribosomal RNA is filed under the name Diplomitoporus crustulinus. RNAcentral describes it as "5.8S ribosomal RNA". It matches the Rfam family "5.8S ribosomal RNA". From Rfam's summary of the family: 5.8S ribosomal RNA (5.8S rRNA) is a component of the large subunit of the eukaryotic ribosome. The record is from RNAcentral. Lineage: Eukaryota; Fungi; Basidiomycota; Agaricomycetes; Polyporales; Climacocystaceae.
CACUUUCAGCAACGGAUCUCUUGGCUCUCGCAUCGAUGAAGAACGCAGCGAAAUGCGAUAAGUAAUGUGAAUUGCAGAAUUCAGUGAAUCAUCGAAUCUUUGAACGCACCUUGCGCUCCUUGGUAUUCCGAGGAGCAUGCCUGUUUGAGUG